RNAcentral lists this long non-coding RNA (315 nucleotides) under Physcomitrium patens. RNAcentral describes it as "long non-coding RNA (PPAT_LNC004272)". The record is from RNAcentral. Lineage: Eukaryota; Viridiplantae; Streptophyta; Bryopsida; Funariales; Funariaceae.
AAUCAAAAAGUGAAGUUAGGAAUUUGACUUAAAAAGCUACAUUUUAUUUGAAAACAUUGAUAUAUUCCAAUCUAGAAUAAAAGAGAGAGAGUUGUUAGAAGUUAGUGUUAAAAAUUGGAGUUUGUAAGUGAGUUGCUUUUUAAUGGAGGUUUUUAUUUUUGCCAUAUCUUGAGUUUUUGGAUGAAUUUUUGGCUAAACAUUUUCACAAAUGUAGAUGACUAUAUUCAAAAUUUGUACAUAAAAAAUUCUUAAUAUUUGAGUUUUGGAUUUUUGAGAUAUGAAGGAAUUAGUACAUAGGUAUCUAAGAAUUGAUAU